GGCAGUGUUCGGUACACUCAUAGCGUAGUAAUUCUUCUCGCUUCUGCAGUGGCCCGUACGAUUCGCCGUAAAACCCCUAAUUUUCUAAUGGUUGACCUCGGA
RNAcentral lists this ribosomal RNA (102 nucleotides) under Hypoxylon perforatum. RNAcentral describes it as "partial 28S ribosomal RNA". The record is from RNAcentral. Lineage: Eukaryota; Fungi; Ascomycota; Sordariomycetes; Xylariales; Hypoxylaceae.